UGCUUGACUAGCUGAGAGGAGGUGCAUGGCCGUCGUCAGUUCGUACUGUGAAGCAUCCUGUUAAGUCAGGCAACGAGCGAGACCCACGCCAACAGUUGCCAGCAUGUCCUCCGGGGAUGAUGGGGACACUGUUGGGACCGCCUCUGCUAAAGAGGAGGAAGGAAUGGGCAACGGUAGGUCAGCAUGCCCCGAAUUAUCCGGGCUACACGCGGGCUACAAUGGUCAGGACAAUGGGUAUCGACACCGAGAGGUGGAGGCAAUCUCCUAAACCUGUCCUUAGUUCGGAUUGUGGGCUGCAACUCGCCCACAUGAAGCUGGAAUCCGUAGUAAUCGCGUUUCAAAAUAGCGCGGUGAAUAUGUCCCUGCUCCUU
Molecule: ribosomal RNA, 371 nt
Filed under: uncultured Methanolinea sp.
Lineage: Archaea; Methanobacteriati; Methanobacteriota; Methanomicrobia; Methanomicrobiales; Methanoregulaceae
Description: bacterial SSU rRNA
Rfam family: Archaeal small subunit ribosomal RNA
Source: RNAcentral